This 483-nucleotide ribosomal RNA is filed under the name uncultured bacterium. RNAcentral's name for it is "partial 16S ribosomal RNA". It matches the Rfam family "Bacterial small subunit ribosomal RNA", at positions 28 to 507 of the family's 1533-position model. The record is from RNAcentral.
GACGAACGCUGGCGGCGUGCUUAACACAUGCAAGUCGAACGCUGAAGCUCAGCUUUUGUUGGGUGGAUGAGUGGCGAACGGGUGAGUAACACGUGAGUAACCUGCCCCCUUCUUUGGGAUAACGCCCGGAAACGGGUGCUAAUACUGGAUAUUCACUGGUCUUCGCAUGGGGGUUGGUGGAAAGGGUUUUUCUGGUGGGGGAUGGGCUCGCGGCCUAUCAGCUUGUUGGUGGGGUGAUGGCCUACCAAGGCUUUGACGGGUAGCCGGCCUGAGAGGGUGACCGGUCACAUUGGGACUGAGAUACGGCCCAGACUCCUACGGGAGGCAGCAGUGGGGAAUAUUGCACAAUGGGCGUAAGCCUGAUGCAGCGACGCCGCGUGAGGGAUGGAGGCCUUCGGGUUGUGAACCUCUUUCGCUCAUGGUCAAGCCGCAACAAUGGUUGUGGUGAGGGUAGUGGGUAAAGAAGCGCCGGCUAACUACGUG